UGGGGAAUUUUGGACAAUGGGCGAAAGCCUGAUCCAGCAAUGCCGCGUGAGUGAUGAAGGCCUUCGGGUUGUAAAGCUCUGUCUUUUGGGACGAUAAUGACGGCACCAAAGGAGGAAGCCACGGCUAACUACGUGCCAGCAGCCGCGGUAAUACGUAGGUGGCAAGCGUUGUCCGGAUUUACUGGGCGUAAAGGAUGCGUAGGCGGAUUUUUAAGUGAGAUGUGAAAUACCCGGGCUUAACUUGGGUGCUGCAUUUCAAACUGGGAAUCUAGAGUGCGGGAGAGGAGAAUGGAAUUCCUAGUGUAGCGGUGAAAUGCGUAGAGAUUAGGAAGAACACCAGUGGCGAAGGCGGUUCUCUGGACCGUAACUGACGCUGAGGCAUGAAAGCGUGGGUAGCAAACAGGAUUAGAUACCCUGGUAGUCCACGCCGUAAACGAUGAGUACUAGGUGUAGGAGGUAUCGACCCCUUCUGUGCCGCAGUUAACACAAUAAGUACUCCGCCUGGGAAGUACGAUCGCAAGAUUAAAACUCAAAUGAAUUGAC
This 543-nucleotide ribosomal RNA is filed under the name uncultured bacterium. RNAcentral describes it as "partial 16S ribosomal RNA". It matches the Rfam family "Bacterial small subunit ribosomal RNA", at positions 355 to 914 of the family's 1533-position model. The record is from RNAcentral.